Molecule: transfer RNA, 93 nt
Filed under: Streptomyces tanashiensis
Lineage: Bacteria; Bacillati; Actinomycetota; Actinomycetes; Kitasatosporales; Streptomycetaceae
Description: tRNA-Glu
Source: RNAcentral
GUAGGUCUGGUUCAUACGGGACGGUCGACCGUUCUCAGCGCUCGACGAGGCCGGUGAAGUCGCGCUCGUUGCGCUCGGCGCGCCGGACGUACC